Long non-coding RNA from Bos taurus (domestic cattle), 730 nucleotides. The record is from Ensembl. Lineage: Eukaryota; Metazoa; Chordata; Mammalia; Artiodactyla; Bovidae.
GUUCCUGCGCCGGUGGGGCGGGGCGCGGCGCUGCAGAGGGUUACCUGUAUGCGCGGCGCGGAAGACGGUUCCCCAUGGGCGCAGAGACGUCGGAGCGCCUCCGCCGGCACACGGCGUGUCUCUGGUUCCUCUGCCUGCAGACCUGAAGAAGAGCCGCAGCGACUCGGCGGGACCCUCUUGCUGAAAAGACUGUUAAUCACCCUACGCAGAAGGGUGGAAAGGAAUCAAGGGCUGGCGUGGUCAUCAUUGUCCCUUUUCCGGAAAAAUCAAGCGUAACGACCUGAAAAUAGAAAUCUAGAGUUUAGGCAGUGGUAAAUGUGGGACAGACAACCGUCAUGACUCCUUUUGGACCUGAGGCCCUCCAUAUUGUCGGGACACCUGGGCCCUUGCUCGGCCUUUGCCAUUAGUCAGGCAUCAUUCACGACAAUAUUUGAGAUUUCCGUGGCUGAGCCUCUGCUACUGAAGCCUCUCGUGGCCGGAUAGAUUUCAAAGUCACGAAAGGUAAAGAAAAAAGAAUAUUUACAUGUGAUUGGCGUUUCAAAUGUUCAUAGAAUGGUGGGGACAGAGCCUGCAUCCCACAGAAUAAAGCAAUGAGAAGAUGGUGAGGAAAUGGAAAUUCUCCCUAAGUGGGCACAGCAGCAUGAAGGGACCUGUGAACGCUCUCAGAAGGGGCUUGCCCCUCUCUACACGUUGGGCGUUUGCAGAAACCUGAAAGAGAAUGGCUUAACGA